ACGUAGGGGGCAAGCGUUGCUCGGAAUUACUGGGCGUAAAGGGUGUGUAGGUGGCUGAUUAAGUUAAGGAUGAAAUCCCGAGGCUCAACUUCGGAACUGUCCUUGAUACUGGUCAGCUUGAGUCUAGUAAAGGAGAGCGGAAUUCCCUGUGGAACUGUGAAAUGCGUAUAUAUCGGGAUGUACUCCAGAGGCGUAGGCGGUUCUCUAGGCUCGUCCUGACACUGAGACACGAAAGCUAGGGGAGCAAACGG
Molecule: ribosomal RNA, 251 nt
Filed under: uncultured prokaryote
Description: partial 16S rRNA
Rfam family: Bacterial small subunit ribosomal RNA
Source: RNAcentral